AUACUUACCUGGAUGGGGUUAAUGGGUGAUCAACUAGGCCCAUAGCCUGGGCUCGCACCUACCAUUGCACUUGGGCUAGGUGUUGGCCCAAGGUCGGCUCCAGCGGUCGAACCUACAUCGUUAUUUCUGGCAGUGGGGGCCUGCGUGCGCGCGGCCCCUUC
Molecule: small nuclear RNA, 161 nt
Organism: Andrographis paniculata
Lineage: Eukaryota; Viridiplantae; Streptophyta; Magnoliopsida; Lamiales; Acanthaceae
Product: U1 spliceosomal RNA
Exons: 1
Source: RefSeq, a predicted model, not a curated record